This 254-nucleotide ribosomal RNA is filed under the name uncultured bacterium. RNAcentral's name for it is "partial 16S ribosomal RNA". It matches the Rfam family "Bacterial small subunit ribosomal RNA", at positions 524 to 776 of the family's 1533-position model. The record is from RNAcentral.
UACGGGGGGAGCAAGCGUUGUUCGGAUUUACUGGGCGUAAAGGGCGUGUAGGCGGCCACCGCAAGUCGACUGUGAAAUCUCCGGGCUUAACUCGGAAAGGUCAGCCGAUACUGCGGGGCUAGAGUGCAGAAGGGGCAACUGGAAUUCUCGGUGUAGCGGUGAAAUGCGUAGAUAUCUGGAGGAACACCGGUGGCGAAGGCGGCAUCCUGGACCGGCAUUGACGCUGAGGCGCGAAAGCCAGGGGAGCAAACGGG